This 108-nucleotide non-coding RNA is filed under the name Jeotgalibacillus campisalis. RNAcentral describes it as "SAM-I sequence". It matches the Rfam family "SAM riboswitch aptamer (S box leader)". From Rfam's summary of the family: The SAM riboswitch is found upstream of a number of genes which code for proteins involved in methionine or cysteine biosynthesis in Gram-positive bacteria. Lineage: Bacteria; Bacillati; Bacillota; Bacilli; Caryophanales; Caryophanaceae. The record is from Rfam by way of RNAcentral.
CUCUUAUCAAGAGAGGCGGAGGGAUUGGCCCUAUGAAGCCCGGCAACCGCUGACGUCAUGUCAGAAAGGUGCUACAUCCAGCAGGAGAAAUCUCCUGAAAGAUAGGAU